AGCUUUGCACAGUGGCAGUAUCGUAGCCAAUGAGGUUUAUCCGAGGCACGAUUAUUGCUAAUUGAAAAUUCAGAAACUUGAAAGGUCCACUCUUUCAUUUCUCUUAUUUUUUUUUCUCUUUAGUUCGUUCUGGGACAAUGUAAUAAAUUAAAUGAUUUUGAAAAAU
This 166-nucleotide small nuclear RNA is filed under the name Rhinolophus ferrumequinum (greater horseshoe bat). RNAcentral describes it as "U4 spliceosomal RNA (ENSRFEG00010016640.1)". The stretch from base 1 to 135 matches the Rfam family "U4 spliceosomal RNA". Rfam says of the family: U4 small nuclear RNA (U4 snRNA) is a component of the major U2-dependent spliceosome. The structure of U4 snRNA from yeast and human has been reported. Lineage: Eukaryota; Metazoa; Chordata; Mammalia; Chiroptera; Rhinolophidae. The record is from RNAcentral.